This is a long non-coding RNA of Neopelma chrysocephalum (saffron-crested tyrant-manakin), 682 nucleotides long. RefSeq lists it as uncharacterized. The transcript has 3 exons. The record is from RefSeq and is a predicted model, not a curated record. Lineage: Eukaryota; Metazoa; Chordata; Aves; Passeriformes; Pipridae.
CCCUGGGCUCCCCACACCCUCCCCAAGCAAUAACUGGAGCCGCCAGACACCCCGAUGGCGGAGGACGACGGUGGAGGUAGGGCCGGGCCCCGCCCGGGUGUCCCCUCUGUCCCCCCCCAUGGCGGCACCGUCACCCUAAAAUGGGGGGGAAGGGGAUGACAAUUUUGGGGGGGAAAACAGGCCCCACUGCGAAGCCAGGCUGUGUUUCCAUGGUAACUGGACCAGGCCUGAGCUCUCACUGUGAGGCCAGGCUGCGUUUCCAUGGUAGCAGCACUAGGCCUGAGCACUACUGCGAGGCCAGGUUGCGUUUCCAUGGUAACGGGACUAGGCCGCAGCUCUCACUGCAAGGCCAGACUGUGUUUCCAUGGUAACAGGACUAGGCCUGAGCACUACUGCGAGGCCAGGCCGUAUUUCCAUGGUAACAGGACUAGGCCAGGCAGCUGCAUUUCCAUGGUAACAGGACUAGGCCGGAACCCUCACUUUGAGGCCAGGCCGGGCUAUGUUUCCAUGGUAACAGGACUUGGCCUGAGCACUACUGUGAUGCCAGGCUGUGUUUCCAUGGUAACAGGACUAGGCCGGAACCCUCACUUUGAGGCCAGGUGGGUUUCCAUGGUAACGGGACUAGGCCAGGCACUACUGCAAGGCCGGGUUGCGUCUCCAUGGUAACUGGACUAGGCCAGGC